Peromyscus californicus insignis is the source of this 2245-nucleotide long non-coding RNA. RefSeq lists it as uncharacterized. Lineage: Eukaryota; Metazoa; Chordata; Mammalia; Rodentia; Cricetidae. The record is from RefSeq and is a predicted model, not a curated record. The transcript has 2 exons.
UCCAGGCAGGUCGGAUUUCUCACAGAAACCAGAGGUUCUAAAAGGCAGAAACCACCGCAUGCCGGCUUGUGUGUGCACCACCGUCCUUGGCCACCACAGCGCAUCCUGAGAAUGCAGACUGAGUGCUGAGCGGCCCGAGAGCAUCGCCUUCCGCAGGCCUGGCUGUGAGAGUCCGGACCACGCCAGCGUUGUCCUGAGCGAACACAGUAGGCUGAAAAAAUCUCCAAUGCACGGUUGUUGCUAAAACGGCACUGAAACCGAUUUGGGGGGGGAAUUCAACAUUCAGAACCCGACCCCUUGGCCGCUUCAGGCAGAAACCUGUGUCGAAGCUGUGAGUGAAGAUAACAAUAGCAACCGCAUCCUUAAUUAGCACUGAAAGCAGCUACCGAGGGAUGCUGGCGCUCGGGAACCCUUCUCUGGGUCCCCAAUCACGCACUGCCGCGAGCCAGAAUUCCAGAAGCAGAAGCAGAGUUCUCCGACCAAUGGCAUGCUUCACGGUUCGUCCAUCGACAGCUCUCCCUCUUUUCGGGUCAAUUAUUCACUGCGAAGAUUUAAACUGGCCUCCGAGCACAGGAGAAGCAAUUGAGGCCCAGCUGCAACCAUUUUUCGCUGCAGAACAUGGGAUGUUUCCUCAGAAGCGGGCAGCGUCUCCUCUGGAGCACACCGACUAGGUGUCUUAGUGACUGGAUCUGGGGGUCUCUCCCUCCCUCUCUCCUCCCUCUCCUCCCUUCUCCUCCCCUCCUUUUCUAUCCUUCCCCUCCAACAGUCUUUCCCCACCCCACUUCCCCUCUCUUUUGCAGUAUCCCGACUCCCUUUUCCGGCAUCACUGUCUCUCACUUCCCCUCCAUCAUCACUCUGGAACCUCCAUUGGAUUCUGUUUCUCUCCCAUGCUCUUCCUCCCUUACUGACCUCCAAGCAAAUUGUUUCUUCAUAGUAUUUUCCCAGCACUAUUUUCUUUCCAUGGAACUGUGACCAACCACACUGAGCUUUUCAAAAGGCCCUCCCUCAGGCUGGGCGGUGGUGGCACAUGCCUUUAAUCCUAGCACUCUUGAGGCAGAGACAGGCGGAUCUCUGUGAGUUCCAGUGAGUGCCUACAGGGUACUCUGUAGAGUGAGUGCCAGGAAAAGGUGCCAAAGCUACACAGAGAAAUUCUGUCUCGAAAAACAACAACAACAAAAAGGUCCCUCCCUUUGUUAUGGGAUCAACAACUUCACUUGGUCCUAGUAUCUUUUGAGCAUCGUGGAGAUAAAUCUCCUUUUCUUUCAAGGCAUGGCCAGGCAAGAAUUCGCCCCACAAACCUUCAGAGGUUACAAUGAAAAUCAUCUCUUAGGUCAGAAUUCUGUGCAUCUCAUGCUUCAGUCUUGUCUUCCUGUUAACGAACCUACUUGCCCUUUUCCAGCAUGUAUGUUGGUCCUUCCAUGUCCUCUGUCCCUUUGCUUGGUAAAUUGUCACCCUGUUUGGAGGUCCUGCAGUCUGCUAAUCAGCCUGUUCUUCCCUCCAUGGUCAAUAGCUUGUCUUCUGACUCUCCGCCUGCUCUCACAUGUGCAUUGUUGCUAUCCUUUUCUUAAUUGCUCUAUAUUAAACAAAAGAUGUCAUCAUAUCAAACAAGGAGAUCAGACCUGAGAUGAAUUAUGAGUGUGAGUAUGCUCUAUCUGAAGUUGAGCACAGAAACAGCCAUUUCCAAGGGUAAAAGGACUGAUCCGAGUCAUGUUGGUGUCACCAGAAAGACGACAGGGGACAGAUGCGCCUCUCAGAGUGGAGUCCCAACCCUUCCGUGGGACUGAGAUCUUACCUCGCUUCCCUUCCUCUGCAUCAUGUGACCUAGAUCCACUGUUCUUACUCUUUGAGUGAAUGAAUAGUGUGGAUAAUUGUGGGCCAAAUCCAAAGAGAUAGAGUCUUAGAAAGAUGAUUCCCUGAAUAUGCUGGAAAGAAACACACACACACACACCGAUUGUAAUAUGCACACCUUGAAUAGACUCCCAUCAUAUUACUGAAUACUACCCAGUUUACUUAACUCGAUAAAUUCUUCAGGACAUCAUAAUAGUUAUUAUUCAAUGCUUGCUUUUUGUUUUCUCACUAAUUCACUUAUUGUGAUGCUAAAGAUUGAACCCAGGGUCUUUCUCAUGUAGGCAGAUAUUCUACCACUGAACUAUAUUUCCAGCCUCAGAUGCCUAUAUUUGCAAUGAAAAUGGAGACAGUAAAUACAAUAUUAAAAUUUUUUAAAGAAAUAAACCAAAAUAAAGUA